Lolium rigidum is the source of this 3982-nucleotide long non-coding RNA. RefSeq lists it as uncharacterized. NCBI's taxonomy places the organism in Eukaryota, Viridiplantae, Streptophyta, Magnoliopsida, Poales, Poaceae. The transcript is spliced from 3 exons. The record is from RefSeq and is a predicted model, not a curated record.
GACGGGGCGCCGGGCACAGAGGCUCCCAGUUGAGGAGGCCGACGCGGUCAAGAGGUCAGUGUGGGAUCAGGCGAGGCCGGCAGCACGUACGGCCUGCCGGAGUCGAUGCACCUGCUCAACAUCAACAUCAGAGGGAGGAGGCCAGCAACUACCAGUGGACGCGCAGCAGUGGAUGCUCACAUGUGGUUUUGAACUGCGCGAGCAUGGCCGUCAGAUGGGAGCUGCUUCAGAAAGAGCAUGGACAGUAUGCGGAAGAGGGCGAGGUGCGGCGCCAUGGCAGAAUCUCUGCACUAUGACUAUAUAUCCCUUCUUUUAUUCUUCGUUAGUGUCUUCUCUGUUUGCUAAUUUCUGGAUUUAUUGAUUGAUGUUAUCUGCUCAGGUUCUUCUUGUGGAUUCAUAAAUGUUGUUUCCAUGUGAACAUAUGGUUGCAAACAACCUUGAUAGCAGUACUAGAUUGAUGUGUUAUAACAAAAACUGCUAGACUAUUUUUUGGCCUUCUACUUUGUAGAUGUGAGUAUAUUUGAAAAAUAAAUGAAAAUUGGAGGAGACCAUCUUCCACUCAUUAUUUUACUUGGUAUACUGUUGUUUGCAUGACUGCUCCAGAUCUAUUUGUACACCAAUUAGGAUCUUAUUUGGAGACCCAUUAAAUCCUAUGAAGCAUAAUUUAUUAAAGCAUAUACUUCUUAGUACCAGCUUGACUAUUCAAGUUCCCUUAAUUUCUUACUUGGAAGGACUUAUUAAUGCCUUGCUUCCUGGCAGCAGUUCAAUAGCCCUGCUCUUUUGCUUUCUGGUUCUGUCUUGCGGCUACCAUGGGACAAGUGAUAUCUCCGAUGGUGGGUUUUUUCAGUUCUUGGUGCAUGUGCGUUUGAAUUCGCAGGUUUACAAUUAGUUCUGGGAAAUAAACAUAGAUUAUGCCCAUUGUGUUGUUUUACUACUUUUAUAUCUUCUCUUCUUUCAGUUAAGUGCUAUGAGUGUUUGGUCAGCGUAAUGAUUCUGAGUGUUUCAGUAUUUCAUUCUCAAUGGAAUGUAUGCAUUACCUGGGCUACCAGUCGAGGUAUCUAGGCUUGGGAGAUGUAUAUGUAGAUGAGGGGAUGUGGCGAUGGCCAUCCGCCUAGCCUGGUGAGUUGUGUCUUGGGAGAUGUAUAUGUCGGAAAGAGGUUACCAAAGGUUGCGUGUGGCUGCAGCGAACUUAUCUUCGUUCUUCUCCCAUUUCAUUCGCUUGCCUCAUAUUUCUGUCUGCAAUAUUUAUCUGAUAUGUUGAUGUGUGAUUUCUUCCUUCUGAGUAUAACCUGAAACUAAUCCGGCAUAUGGUGAGGGUUUUGGUUUAGAUUGGUUUGCUUCACUUACUGGAAUCACGUGCCUUCUUUUUUCAUGCCAUUCUUUGGUUUAAUGUCAGUUUACAUAGUUUACACUCCAUAAUUUUACAUUAACUCCUAAUACAUUCAUAAUCCGUAUAUUUUGCCCCUCACUUGCACUACACCUUCAUGAUUGUAUUCCUCUAUGAAUACAGAGUGCUACCACAAAAAUGGAUGAUUGGAAAAAGAAAGUGCAUUGCUCUGCUUUUCAUAAGAAAUCAUGAGAAAAUGUUGUAUGUAACCAGAAAAGGUGUAAGAAAUAAACUGAGUGGAAAAACUUUACGGAAGGUCCAUAAUUUUUAAUUGUCACUGUUUAAAUUAAAUUUGUCUAAUUUCCCUUCAUAAAACAAAGGUGCAGAGAAGCAAAUGAAGGGGGUCUGCAACUGAUCAUCUAUGGGGCUAGCUACUCCUUGGCGUGGCUUCAGUUGUCCGCGGGAAUCUGCGAGCUCCUCGUGAGAAGCUCUAUCAAUUAUAUGAAUGAAUUUUACAUACUACAUGGAAGAACAAGGAAAUCGAGGCUUUUUAUAUGGGUGUAAAUUAUUUUGUACAAAGUGCAAUCUUGGGUACCUCUUGGAUUCUUUGGACACCACACAGAAAUCAAAGCAGAUUGAGAGGCCAGGUCAUAUGUCAGUCAAUUACAUUUAGUGUAUAUUCAUCCAAGACCAAGUACAACUAUAUCUUAUGGUAAAGUAAGACGAAUGUAAGCAGGUACAGCUGCGUACAACAGAAAUCCAUGUUUUUUCAGGUUUGCUAAGUCCCUUUUUCUUUUCUUAUUACAUUCCCCAACAUACGUUACUCUUUUCCCGUUGUUCAUAUUAUUUAUUGCUGCCAAUUUAUAUUGAUUUAGUAGCAUAUUUUUUACUGUACAACCGGCGGCCAUAAGGCAAUAUUUGUUCAUCCCGGCGUCUAUUCAGUUUGGACUGUGGCGGUCUAGCCAAUCCCAAGUGGCAAAAACCAACCAAUCUGAAGUUACUGGGCUAUUUUUACAGUUGACAUAGUCUAUAGGAUGACAAUGAACUUGCAAUUUCUAUGUGCAAUAUAGCUCCUUUUUCCUCUGAUGAUUGGUCCCUGACAAAGGCUAUUUUUACAGUUGACAUAGUCUAUAGGAUGGCAAUGAACUUGCAAUUUCUAUGUGCAAUAUAGCUCCUUUUUCCUCUUAUGAUUGGUCCCUGACGAAGGUGUUGUGCACAUCACCGUUGAAUCAAAGUACCACAUUUGACACCAAUAGAGAUUUAAUUGCUCCAGGUUAGCUUCUACAUGGCUUAUAUUAUGUAGAUACUUCAGUUUAAAAAUUAUAUACCUCGCUAUGGAAUGGGGACCGCAGGUGCUUAGUCUGUUUCCAGAUCCUUUUGUCGCGCUGACUUCCGCCCAUCUCCAACAUAGAAACAAGUGAGUGAGAUGUGAUGGUGGAUGCUAUUUGCUUAUUUAAAGAAGAAUCAUGACACUUCGCCAAUUUGCAUCGUUCUCAUGUGGUAUUCAUGCUUAUGUCGGUCAUAUAAUAAAAUAUCUCGAAACGUCCUUUCCAUUAUCAGGAGCUAAAAGGGAAAUGCUACAAAAGCUAAAUAUGACAUUCAGUUUAAUUUUGAGUAGAUAUUUAUUUUCUUAGUUUUUAUUCUAUCCAGAGUAAUAUUUUGAUACUUACAUUAUUAUCAGUUUUCAUGUUGCAAUUCAAAGUCUGGUUUUAUUUGGAGCGGGGCGCUACCCGUCGAGAUUGAGCGUCAUCGGCAGGUUCAGAGAGGGGAGAUUGAGAGAAUGUGGAAAUAAGAGAAAAAUAAAUAUGGGAUGACCAUGAAAAACAAAAUGUAGAAAAAAUUACUUAGCCUAUUACCUGGUCCAGUUUCACAUAACGCAUUAAAAAAUGUACUGCCAACUAGACCAUUUGAUUAUCUAGACGUUCUUUUGUACUCCUACCCUGUUCAUACUCAUAUGUAAAUGCACCGGCACACUAUGCUCAUUUUGGAUGAAAUCUACAAAGAUCAUAUAGGAAGAGAGGUCUAACUGGGGUAUCUUUGAACCAAUCGCCCUGAAGGAGUUGUUCCCAGAUCAGUCCUCAAUGUGUAACUGUCGACCAUUAAAAGUAAUUUAUACACAUAAUAUACACCCAUGCACUUGCAACUAACCAGUAUAAAUUCUCUUUUGCAGCAAUUAAAAGUCAACAAAUCCACUGGAGCAUCCCUUCCUCUUUUGGGCAGAACAAAGUACUUCAUGGCCAUCUCUAUCGCCUUUUCCCAUAAUUACUUGAGUUUAUGGUCAUGCAAAUCUGCUCAGAAUUUAGUUAUGGCUGAAGGAGUACUUGGUUCGAACAAUUCAUUGCUAUGACUGUGCAGUGUUCAGUUGAAUAUAAUGGAUGCUAGAGAUGGAUCAAAGGAAUGUGCAUUCAGCAGAGAGUGGCCCUACUCGGUAGUGCAUCUACCAAAUAAUCAUAUCGCUGCCGCGGCGUGCUGCCGUGAACACCACUGCCACAAGGCCUUUGAGGAUGUCCGCAUCACCUCACGGGAGGCACAAAUUGUUCAUACACUGCACUAGAUCUUUUGUAAUCGGAGGCACAGAUAGUCUGCAUUGUAUGUUUUCUUUGCCUAUGUAUUACAGUAUGUAAUGGGAACAUGUUGCACUGCUGAAUAGAGCUA